Small nuclear RNA from Mesoplodon densirostris (Blainville's beaked whale), 107 nucleotides. NCBI's taxonomy places the organism in Eukaryota, Metazoa, Chordata, Mammalia, Artiodactyla, Ziphiidae. The record is from RefSeq and is a predicted model, not a curated record.
GUGCUCGCUUCAGCAGCACAUAUACUAAAACUAGAACGAUACAGAGAAGAUUAGCAUGGCCCCUGCACAAGGAUGACACGCAAAUUCAUGAAGCGUUCUGUAUUUUU